RNAcentral lists this ribosomal RNA (25 nucleotides) under Xeromphalina kauffmanii. RNAcentral's name for it is "partial large subunit ribosomal RNA". Lineage: Eukaryota; Fungi; Basidiomycota; Agaricomycetes; Agaricales; Mycenaceae. The record is from RNAcentral. RNAcentral also lists the same sequence under 1 other name.
UUUGACAAUUUGACCUCAAAUCAGG